RNAcentral lists this unclassified non-coding RNA (234 nucleotides) under uncultured Arthrinium. RNAcentral's name for it is "sequence contains ITS1". The record is from RNAcentral. Lineage: Eukaryota; Fungi; Ascomycota; Sordariomycetes; Amphisphaeriales; Apiosporaceae.
CAGAGUUAUACAACUCCCAUACCAUUUGUGAACCUACUCAGUUAUGCCUCGGCGUCAGCUUGGUGGGCAUGACGGUGUUACCCUGUAGCUACCCUGUAGCCGCGGGGUUACCCUGGAGCUACCCUGUAGCUCUGAGGGUGCUACCCUGUAGCGCGCCGCCUCCCCCAAGCCCGCCGGUGGUACACGAAACUCUUGUUUUAUUGUAUCUUCUGAGCGUCUUAUUUUAAUAAGUUA